AGUGAACGCUGGCGGUAGGCCUAACACAUGCAAGUCGAACGGCAGCACAGUAAGAGCUUGCUCUUACGGGUGGCGAGUGGCGGACGGGUGAGGAAUACAUCGGAAUCUACUUUUUCGUGGGGGCUAACGUAGGGAAACUUACGCUAAUACCGCAUACGACCUACGGGUGAAAGCAGGGGAUCUUCGGACCUUGCGCGAUUGAAUGAGCCGAUGUCGGAUUAGCUAGUUGGCGGGGUAAAGGCCCACCAAGGCGACGAUCCGUAGCUGGUCUGAGAGGAUGAUCAGCGACACUGGAACUGAGACACGGUCCAGACUCCUACGGGAGGCAGCAGUGGGGAAUAUUGGACAAUGGGCGCAAGCCUGAUCCAGCCAGACCGCGUGGGUGAAGAAGGCCUUCGGGUUGUAAAGCCCUUUUGUUGGGAAAGAAAAGCAGCAGGUUAAUACCCCGCUGUUCUGACGGUACCCAAAGAAUAAGCACCGGCUAACUUCGUG
Molecule: ribosomal RNA, 492 nt
Filed under: uncultured bacterium
Lineage: Bacteria
Description: partial 16S ribosomal RNA
Rfam family: Bacterial small subunit ribosomal RNA
Source: RNAcentral